Molecule: ribosomal RNA, 546 nt
Filed under: uncultured Lophiostoma
Lineage: Eukaryota; Fungi; Ascomycota; Dothideomycetes; Pleosporales; Lophiostomataceae
Description: eukaryotic LSU rRNA
Rfam family: 5.8S ribosomal RNA (bases 175-328)
Source: RNAcentral
UCCGUAGGUGAACCUGCGGAAGGAUCAUUAAAGUAGGGGCUCCGGCCCCGAAAAGAUGCAACCCUUGCCUUUUUUUUAGCGUCUAUCCGUUUCCUCGGCAGCUCCGCCUGCCAGCGAGGACCCCCGAAAACCUUUUGCAAUCCCGUAAAAAUUUCAGUAAUAUAAAAUCGUUAAAACUUUCAACAAUGGAUCUCUUGGCUCUGGCAUCGAUGAAGAACGCAGCGAAAUGCGAUAAGUAGUGUGAAUUGCAGAAUUCAGUGAAUCAUCGAAUCUUUGAACGCACAUUGCGCCCUUUGGUAUUCCUUAGGGCAUGCCUGUUCGAGCGUCGUUUCAAAAUUCAAGCUCAGCUUGGUGAUGGGCGUCUGUCCCGCCUCCGCGCGUGGACUCGCCUCAAAAGCAGUUGGCAGCUCCCCCUCCGGCACUGAACGCAGCAGAUUUGCGUGACGCGGCGGCAGGAGGGGCUUACCAGUAAGCAAAACCACCCCAGAUUGACCUCGGAUCAGGUAGGGAUACCCGCUGAACUUAAGCAUAUCAAUAAGCGGAGGA